GAACUCGAAGAGCAACAGGAAACUACGUUCGACUUCUUGCUAACGAUGAAUCGUCGAAGGAUAAAAGUUGACGCGUUUGUUGCGCAGUUUAGGGAUGCGCAGCCAGCUUCUAGUAGCAAGAAGCGAUUUCCAUCUUCAGGUUCAUUCGACAAGCGGAAAUAAGCAGACAAGCGGAUUUGAGAUUGAGAAGAAAAUAAGAUUUAUUUGAUAUUAUACAUCUGCAGACUGUGCGACACUGAGCAUGGCAGAAACGAAACGAGUGCUUCAAGGCUUCCGAGAUGGAUUCCUGAGGAUCCUUGAGAAACUCUUCCGCUUCCUGGACACGUGUGGCCUGCUUCUACAGAAUUUUGCUGUACCUGUACACCUGUGCUCACGUCCUGUAAAGCUGAGAAAUGAUGGAUCGUCUUUACGGUACUUCAAGCUGAGAAAGUACAACGAGCGAAUAAGGAUCUGACGCGUUAAUUCGUUUGGAGUUGUUAGAAAAAUGACGACGAUAGUUUUUCAACCGAAAAGAACUCUGUAACCUCACAAGUGCUAUCUUAAUUAAUCUUUUCGCAACAAUAUCAAAAUGAGAUAUUGUUUUUCGUUUAUCUGCGAGAAUAAUAAAUCUGAAAUUGCAGCCUA
Molecule: long non-coding RNA, 624 nt
Organism: Wasmannia auropunctata (little fire ant)
Lineage: Eukaryota; Metazoa; Arthropoda; Insecta; Hymenoptera; Formicidae
Exons: 2
Source: RefSeq, a predicted model, not a curated record